RNAcentral lists this ribosomal RNA (521 nucleotides) under uncultured bacterium. RNAcentral describes it as "bacterial SSU rRNA". It matches the Rfam family "Bacterial small subunit ribosomal RNA", at positions 8 to 526 of the family's 1533-position model. The record is from RNAcentral.
AGAGUUUGAUCAUGGCUCAGAUUGAACGCUGGCGGCAUGCCUUACACAUGCAAGUCGAACGGUAACGCGGGGCAACCUGGCGACGAGUGGCGAACGGGUGAGUAAUACAUCGGAACGUGCCCAGUAGUGGGGGAUAGCCCGGCGAAAGCCGGAUUAAUACCGCAUACGACCUACGGGUGAAAGCGGGGGAUCGCAAGACCUCGCGCUAUUGGAGCGGCCGAUGUCAGAUUAGCUAGUUGGUGGGGUAAAGGCCUACCAAGGCGACGAUCUGUAGCUGGUCUGAGAGGACGACCAGCCACACUGGGACUGAGACACGGCCCAGACUCCUACGGGAGGCAGCAGUGGGGAAUUUUGGACAAUGGGCGCAAGCCUGAUCCAGCCAUGCCGCGUGCGGGAAGAAGGCCUUCGGGUUGUAAACCGCUUUUGUCAGGGAAGAAACGCGCUGAGCUAAUACCUCGGCGUAAUGACGGUACCUGAAGAAUAAGCACCGGCUAACUACGUGCCAGCAGCGGCGGUAAUAC